CAAUGACAGCACAGAAUGGUAUCUGCCAUCCUACUAUUUCCACGACCACUAGUGCCCUGGAGAUUUGAUCUUCUUGUGACUUCUGCCAUCAUGGCCAGAAACAAGAUAGUGCCAAGACAAAUGACAAGUGAAAAAGUUGAAUAGUAACUUCAGAAACCUGAGACGCUUCCCCAGAGCAGGAGGUUGUUGGAGGGCUUUGCCGUUUGACCUCAGGCCGUUCCGCACUAGAGGACCAUAGAAGACGAUUCUCAUCAGAUGAAUGAAGAAAGAGUGUCCGAGAAGCUGGCAGCUCUGUCAGAUUUUCAUUUUCCUUCUCUUCUUGGGCAGAACAGUUUAAGCCAACCAGCUCACGUCAGAAGAACAGCAGCUACAGCCCAGCAUUUAUGGGAGCGUUCCUCUUCCUGGCUAGUACCUGCCAUCAGAGAAGCUUCCUCCAGCUUGGGUCUCAGAGCGAGAACACACCCAAGGCUGACCAGAGCUGACCUGCAGGCCGCACAGGGAAUGGCUGAGAAAGAGGCAGUCCGUGCUGUAACACGCUGGAAUCGUGGGGUCCCUCAGUACCACAGCAAAGGUGGAAGAUGACAACCAAAUCCUGAGAAGUCGAAUUGCUGAGUCUUCAGUCCGUUCCACAAACAUUUUGAAGAGAGAUGCUUUGAACCUACUGUCCUGGAUUCUGGAGAUCACAGUCGUGAACAACAGUGAAGGAAACCAAGUUCCCCAGGUUAGGGUGCUUACAUCUUGUCAAUGUUAUCCUUUUUAAAGUUCUAAUAGAUGCUUUAAAAAUUGCCCUUCUCUCUACUAUGUAUUGAUAAAGAUAGAGGGAAUUCAUGGUGCUUUCUCCUUCCAGAUUUUCUCUUCUGUUUUCCAAUCUUUAAAAGACAAUUCUCACUCUGAGCUUGGGCUCAGCAAAUCUGGGUGUCAACCGACCAGCCCUUUCCCUAGGAGCCACUGGCAGCCAAAGCAGAUGCCUGUGGAGUAUCCCCUUGGCAGCCCCACCCUUCAGCUUCCCUUUGACUUCACGCCUCUGUAGAAAGGGCAGACUUGGCUUUACUACACCCGAGUGUCACACACAUGAGAUUAUGGACAGUCAUUGUUUACAUGGCACGAAUGCUAGGUGGGAGCAGGUCCUUCUGUGGUGGCGUGGCCACGCUGGGCCACUGAGCCCAUGGCUCUCUGUGGGGCGUGACAAGUGGAAUGGCCAGCCUGAGAGCCACUGGGGGGGGGUGGUGUGAGUGUGGAGCGGGGAAGACCGUGACUCCAGAGCUCAUCCUGGCCAGGUCAAGAUGCAUCAUGGAGGCGGGCAUAAUGAUCCCAGCCCCUGCAUGCUUUCCGAGUCACACACUUGUCCCUAGCCCCUUCCUGUCUGUUCUGCUCUUCAAUAUCGGUGUCUUGCUGAGUCAGGGCCCCACCUGGAAGUACUUGC
RNAcentral lists this long non-coding RNA (1423 nucleotides) under Macaca mulatta (Rhesus monkey). Its description in RNAcentral is "lncRNA (ENSMMUG00000054713.1)". The record is from RNAcentral. Lineage: Eukaryota; Metazoa; Chordata; Mammalia; Primates; Cercopithecidae.